UUUUGGUGAGUGGCGGACGGGUGAGUAACACGUGGGUAACCUGCCCAAAAGUGGGGGAUAACAUUUGGAAACAAGUGCUAAUACCGCAUAACAACUGCUUUCACAUGAUCGCAGCUUGAAAGAUGGCUCUGCUAUCGCUUUUGGAUGGACCCGCGGCGUAUUAGCUAGUUGGUGAGGUAAUAGCUCACCAAGGCAAUGAUACGUAGCCGACCUGAGAGGGUAAUCGGCCACAUUGGGACUGAGACACGGCCCAAACUCCUACGGGAGGCAGCAGUAGGGAAUCUUCCACAAUGGGCGAAAGCCUGAUGGAGCAAUGCCGCGUGAGUGAAGAAGGUUUUCGGAUCGUAAAACUCUGUUGUUGAAGAAGAACAUGCGUGAGAGUAACUGUUCACGUACUGACGGUAUUCAACCAGAAAGCCACGGCUAACUACGUGCCAGCAGCCGCGGUAAUACGUAGGUGGCAAGCGUUGUCCGGAUUUAUUGGGCGUAAAGAGAA
This 496-nucleotide ribosomal RNA is filed under the name Lactobacillus sp. RNAcentral describes it as "bacterial SSU rRNA". It matches the Rfam family "Bacterial small subunit ribosomal RNA", at positions 86 to 569 of the family's 1533-position model. Lineage: Bacteria; Bacillati; Bacillota; Bacilli; Lactobacillales; Lactobacillaceae. The record is from RNAcentral.